UACGGAGGGGGCUAGCGUUGUCCGGAAUCAUUGGGCGUAAAGAGCGCGCAGGCGGCUGGUCAAGUCCGAUGUGAAAUCUCCCGGCUCAACUGGGAAACUGCAUCGGAAACUGAUCGGCUUGAAGAUGGGAGAGGGUAGUGGAAUUCCCGGUGUAGUGGUGAAAUGCGUAGAUAUCGGGAGGAACACCAGUGGCGAAGGCGACUACCUGGCCCAUUCUUGACGCUGAGGCGCGAAAGCUAGGGGAGCGAACGGG
This 253-nucleotide ribosomal RNA is filed under the name uncultured bacterium. RNAcentral's name for it is "partial 16S ribosomal RNA". It matches the Rfam family "Bacterial small subunit ribosomal RNA", at positions 524 to 776 of the family's 1533-position model. The record is from RNAcentral.